GACGAACGCUGGCGGCGUGCUUAACACAUGCAAGUCGAACGGAAAGGCCCUGCUUUGGGGGGGUGCUCGAGUGGCGAACGGGUGAGUAACACGUGAGUAACCUGCCCUUGACUGUGGGAUAACUUCAGGAAACUUGGGCUAAUACCGGAUAGGAGCUCCUGCUGCAGGGUGGGGGUUGGAAAGUUUCGGCGGUUGGGGAUUGACUCGCGGCUUAUCAGCUUGGUGGUGGGGUAGUGGAUUACCAAGGCUUUGACGGGUAGCCGGGCUGAGAUGGUGACCGGCCCCACUGGGCUUGAGCUAAGGCACAGCCUCCUCUGGGACGCAGCAGUGGAGUAUAUUGUACAAUGGGCGGAACCCUGAUGUAGUCCCGCCGCGCGCGGUAUGACGGCAUUCGGGUUGUAAACCGCUUUCGCCUGACCCGAAGUGUGAGUGACGGUACCGGGUAAAGAAGCACCGGCUAACUCCGUG
RNAcentral lists this ribosomal RNA (468 nucleotides) under uncultured bacterium. RNAcentral's name for it is "partial 16S ribosomal RNA". It matches the Rfam family "Bacterial small subunit ribosomal RNA", at positions 28 to 507 of the family's 1533-position model. The record is from RNAcentral.